Molecule: ribosomal RNA, 1488 nt
Filed under: Salmonella enterica subsp. enterica serovar Enteritidis
Lineage: Bacteria; Pseudomonadati; Pseudomonadota; Gammaproteobacteria; Enterobacterales; Enterobacteriaceae
Description: partial 23S ribosomal RNA
Rfam family: Bacterial large subunit ribosomal RNA
Source: RNAcentral
CGCUCGCCGGAAGACCAAGGGUUCCUGUCCAACGUUAAUCGGGGCAGGGUGAGUCGACCCCUAAGGCGAGGCCGAAAGGCGUAGUCGAUGGGAAACGGGUUAAUAUUCCCGUACUUGGUGUUACUGCGAAGGGGGGACGGAGAAGGCUAUGUUGGCCGGGCGACGGUUGUCCCGGUUUAAGCGUGUAGGUGUGUGUUCCAGGUAAAUCCGGUUCACUUUAACACUGAGGCGUGACGACGAGGCACUACGGUGCUGAAGCAACAAAUGCCCUGCUUCCAGGAAAAGCCUCUAAGCAUCAGGUAACAUCAAAUCGUACCCCAAACCGACACAGGUGGUCAGGUAGAGAAUACCAAGGCGCUUGAGAGAACUCGGGUGAAGGAACUAGGCAAAAUGGUGCCGUAACUUCGGGAGAAGGCACGCUGACACGUAGGUGAAGUGAUUUACUCAUGGAGCUGAAGUCAGUCGAAGAUACCAGCUGGCUGCAACUGUUUAUUAAAAACACAGCACUGUGCAAACACGAAAGUGGACGUAUACGGUGUGACGCCUGCCCGGUGCCGGAAGGUUAAUUGAUGGGGUCAGCGCAAGCGAAGCUCCUGAUCGAAGCCCCGGUAAACGGCGGCCGUAACUAUAACGGUCCUAAGGUAGCGAAAUUCCUUGUCGGGUAAGUUCCGACCUGCACGAAUGGCGUAAUGAUGGCCAGGCUGUCUCCACCCGAGACUCAGUGAAAUUGAACUCGCUGUGAAGAUGCAGUGUACCCGCGGCAAGACGGAAAGACCCCGUGAACCUUUACUAUAGCUUGACACUGAACAUUGAGCCUUGAUGUGUAGGAUAGGUGGGAGGCUUUGAAGUGUGGACGCCAGUCUGCAUGGAGCCGACCUUGAAAUACCACCCUUUAAUGUUUGAUGUUCUAACGUGGACCCGUUACCCGGGUUGCGGACAGUGUCUGGUGGGUAGUUUGACUGGGGCGGUCUCCUCCUAAAGAGUAACGGAGGAGCACGAAGGUUGGCUAAUCCUGGUCGGACAUCAGGAGGUUAGUGCAAUGGCAUAAGCCAGCUUGACUGCGAGCGUGACGGCGCGAGCAGGUGCGAAAGCAGGUCAUAGUGAUCCGGUGGUUCUGAAUGGAAGGGCCAUCGCUCAACGGAUAAAAGGUACUCCGGGGAUAACAGGCUGAUACCGCCCAAGAGUUCAUAUCGACGGCGGUGUUUGGCACCUCGAUGUCGGCUCAUCACAUCCUGGGGCUGAAGUAGGUCCCAAGGGUAUGGCUGUUCGCCAUUUAAAGUGGUACGCGAGCUGGGUUUAGAACGUCGUGAGACAGUUCGGUCCCUAUCUGCCGUGGGCGCUGGAGAACUGAGGGGGGCUGCUCCUAGUACGAGAGGACCGGAGUGGACGCAUCACUGGUGUUCGGGUUGUCAUGCCAAUGGCACUGCCCGGUAGCUAAAUGCGGAAGAGAUAAGUGCUGAAAGCAUCUAAGCACGAAACUUGCCCCGA